CUGCCGGCAGUCACGGGGCAGUUCCUGCGGACCUCCGCGGGAGACGGAGCGGGCUCCGUUCCGUUGUCCGCUCCUAACGCUGCUGGGGCUGAGAAGCGGUUGCUGUGAGGUCUCUCGCGGUCAGGCUCAGCCCAAACCGGCUGAGCGAGGACUGCGGCGGAGCCUCUCUUCAGCUCGAAGCGGUGUGCUCGUAGAAGCGGAGCACGAUGUUUCCAGUGCGGAGACCUGGUGGGGCAGCUUGUGUAAUUGGAAUGCUGUUGUGGAUGGCUCUCUUCUUUCUAGGUAAGACAGACCUAGGUAAGCAAGGUGGUGGAGCUGCUCUUCCAGUGGGAGAAUGGGAAUGUACUGAGCUCUGCCUAGGGAUGAAGGAAGAACUAGCGGAGUGCUUGCAUGUGAGGCUCAAGAGGCAGGAAACUGCCUGAAGAUUGGAGGAUAGCUGAUGGUGCUGCAGCCUUGAGAAAGGGCAAGAAGGACGGCCUUAUCUCUGUUUCUGGAAAGGCGAUUGUAUGGAGAAUGCUGAGUCAUGGCCUGAACCUCUGAUUGCUCACUUGAGACCCAUUUAAGAGCUGGCUGCUGGGGGGGAAGGAUCUCUUUUGGAGGUUUGCUGUGCUGGAGUUUGUGAUGAAACAGCUUGUUCCAGAUGUCAUCUCCAAGUGACUGGAAGAGAAGAAAUGUCUAAGGAGCAGUUGAGAUGGAUUCAUUGUGGUAGGGAAGUGGGGUGUUUCUGUUUUGUGUGGCUCUGUGAUUGAUCUUGUUGCGGGUUGAAGGCUGGAGUAUGUGAGCGGUUUUGCCAGUGGUGAGGAUUCCAGUUUUGUCUCUGGAGCAAGGUGAGCUGUAUCUUGGAUUCCUUCCUUGUGUGUUGUACUGGGAUGGAGUUUAUGACUGGGUGUGAGGGUGAUGUGUUUCUCUUGCAGGUUUGAAUGUGUGCAGCAGAUCCUGUGCUGGAGCAAUGGAGUUAAGUGAGAACAAUCUUUCUCUGCUGGAGUUAGCUUUGUCAGGUGAUUUCACUGAGACUUCUAUCUGGUUGCUCACUUUAACUCAGGAGCGUGCUACCUGAUGGAAACCUUUGCACUGGAUCUCAAGUCAGACUGACCUCCUCCUGUGACACUUGGACUAACUCUGCGCUCAGAUCAGCAUUCAGCAACAUCACUGUGCUAUCCCACCCUACCAGAACUCUUUACUCUGGGAAGUAAUCACUGCGUUCUUCAGGCAGCGUUUAUUGCCUUACGAGAAGGAAGCACUCAGAGUCCCUAUAAAGUGAAAAGCAUACUGGAAGCUGCUCUCUCCACUGAGGGACGAGCUGACACCACGCUUCUCUGCCAAGACUUGACGGGAGUGAAGCAGGUUCACUGUAGGUUACCUACCUCUGAGCGACUGUUUCUCAACAGCAUAUGGAAUCCCAAGGACAACACACAACAAAUAAUAUCCCUCCAAUAGAAAAUGGAGUUCCAAUAUUCAAGCCGUCUCAAUAAAAAAUUCUCACAAAACAAAAAACUCUAUCACUCCCCUUGGUUCUUCUCUCUCCACACACCAAGAGUGAACAAAGCCAGACAAGCAGCAUUACUUCGGACAGAUUCUGUUAGUGCAACAUUGGAUAUUAUGCUUCACAGCUUUCAGUUAAUUCAGGCAGAGGAGGCUAAUUAGAAAUUAAUACAUAAAAUAGAGUACAGCACUCCAUGUGCAGGAGAAUAAUAUAUAUUCUCAAAUGACAAGUUAAAAAGAAGCUCUUUAAGGAUGCCUUUCUGAGAGCAUGAGAGUACUCCAGCCCCCAGCAGUUCAGAUGACACUGAACCGGGCAGAAUAUUUACAAAACCACAGAAUUAAAUAAAACCAGGAAGGGAUUUCUACAGGUACAAUGCUAAGAAGAGAAAGGGCGAGGAAAGCGUACUCGCUCUCGUAAGUGAGAAAAGGCAGCGUCACACGUAGGGAAGGCUGAGGUGCUCAACGAGUUCUUCAACUCAAUCUUUGCUGGCAGUCAGGCUUUCCAUCUCUCUCGUAUCCCUAAACCUCUGGGCUGGGGGAUCAAAAUCCCUUACGGUGUAAGAGAAGAGUGAGUCUGAGACCACUCAAUGAAACUGAAUGUGUACAAGUCUAUGGGGCCUGAUAACAUGCAUUCUAGGGCCAAGACCUGCUAGAUAAGAGCACAGACCAGCAAAUGGAACUCACUGAGAUUAGCCUUGCAGAGAAGAGCUUGAGGGUUCCAGUGGACUAGAAGCUCAAUGCGUGCCGACAGCACACACGGCCCAGAAAACUAAGGCAAUCCUGGGCUGCAUCAAGAGAGGGAGGCGAUCAUCCCCCUCUAUUCUGCUCUUAUGAGGCUCUAUCUCAAGCCCUGUGCCUGGGGCCCUUAGUACAAGACAUAACUGAAGCUGAUAGAGUAGGUCCAUAGCAAAGCCACAAAGAUGGGCAACUAGCUGCAGCACCCCUCCUAUCAAGAAAAGUUGAGGGAAUUGGGUUUGCUUAUCUCAGAGAAGAAAAUGCCUCACUGCAUCUUCUAGCACUUGAAGGAAGCUUAUAAACAGGAGAAGGACCAACCAUUUACAUGGUCUAUGUAGCAAUGUAAUGCGAUGGAAAGUACAUCGCUAACAGCAGGGUGGCAGAGCCCUCAGCUGCAGCAAAUGAGAACAAGCCCAAAUGCUGCUGCUGCAGCAGCAGGUACGAAUGCAGAAACAAACAAAAAAAGUAGCUGCUUACCUUCAGAAGAUCUCCAGGAGGCAGGAAUCACCAGCAAGGCACCCUCACCUCCUGUGCCAACUCUUAAAUGAGGCCUGGGAAGGCGUGAAUCCUGGCUCCACCCCUCCCGGUCAAUCAGCUGCAUUGCAUGCACCUGAGCUCCCCUGGCUUGGCCCCGCCUUCCCACCAGGUGUGCAAUCACCUGUUCCAGCUGUGAUAUGACGUUUACCCUACAGCCUGAUAGCCACAGGGCAAGGUGGAACGGCUUUAAAACUAAAAGAGGCAAGAUUUAGGUUAGGUAUUAGGAGGCAGAAAUUUAUUACUCGAGGUGUUGAGGCACCGGCACAGAAUGCCCUCUGAAGUUGUGAUUAACUCGUCUCUUGAGACGUUCAAGGCCAGGUUGGAUGGGGCUCUGGGCAGCCCGAUCGAGUGGGUGGCAGCCCAGCCUGUGGCAGAGAUGUCUUUACGGCUUGAUGAUCCUUAAGGUCUGAGCCGUUCUGUGACAGAAAUGGAUGAACCAAGACCAAUAAAUACUUACUGAUCUGUGUUUAAAAAAGCAUUAUUUGCGGGAAUUUCUAAAAAAAUAAUAAAAUGGUGUGACUUUUGGAUGCUAUACUAGAAAGAGAGCAGCUUCAUAUGAGUUCAGAAAAUAAA
Molecule: non-coding RNA, 3327 nt
Organism: Meleagris gallopavo (turkey)
Lineage: Eukaryota; Metazoa; Chordata; Aves; Galliformes; Phasianidae
Source: RefSeq, a predicted model, not a curated record